GAUGAACGCUAGCUACAGGCUUAACACAUGCAAGUCGAGGGGAAACGACAUUGAAGCUUGCUUCGAUGGUCGUCGACCGGCGCACGGGUGAGUAACGCGUAUCCAACCUGCCUCUGACCAAGGGAUAACCCGUCGAAAUUCGGCCUAAUACCUUAUGCAGUCGUCGGAAGUCAUCUGAUGACGACGAAAGAUUUCAUCGGUGAGAGAUGGGGAUGCGUCUGAUUAGCUUGUUGGCGGGGUAACGGCCCACCAAGGCAACGAUCAGUAGGGGUUCUGAGAGGAAGGUACCCCACAUCGGAGCUGAGACACGGUCCAAAAUCCUACGGGAGGCAGCAGUAAGGAAGAUUGGGCAAUGAGCGAGAGCCUGACCCAGCCAAGUAGCGUGCAGGAUGACGGCCGUAUGGGUUGUAAACUGCUUUUAUGCGGAGAUAAAGUGAGGGACGUGUCCUUCAUUGCAGGUACCGAAUGAAUAAGGACCGGCUAAUUCCGUG
This 491-nucleotide ribosomal RNA is filed under the name uncultured bacterium. RNAcentral describes it as "partial 16S ribosomal RNA". It matches the Rfam family "Bacterial small subunit ribosomal RNA", at positions 28 to 507 of the family's 1533-position model. The record is from RNAcentral.